RNAcentral lists this ribosomal RNA (303 nucleotides) under uncultured bacterium. Its description in RNAcentral is "partial 16S ribosomal RNA". It matches the Rfam family "Bacterial small subunit ribosomal RNA", at positions 510 to 808 of the family's 1533-position model. The record is from RNAcentral.
AGCAGUGCCGCGGUAAUACGUAGGGUGCGAGCGUUAAUCGGAAUUACUGGGCGUAAAGCGUGCGCAGGCGGUUUUGUAAGACAGGCGUGAAAUCCCCGGGCUCAACCUGGGAAUGGCGCUUGUGACUGCAAAGCUAGAGUGCGGCAGAGGGGGAUGGAAUUCCGCGUGUAGCAGUGAAAUGCGUAGAUAUGCGGAGGAACACCGAUGGCGAAGGCAAUCCCCUGGGCCUGCACUGACGCUCAUGCACGAAAGCGUGGGGAGCAAACAGGAUUAGAUACCCCCGUAGUCCCUGUCUCUUAUACA